Diabrotica virgifera virgifera (western corn rootworm) is the source of this 2260-nucleotide long non-coding RNA. RefSeq lists it as uncharacterized. The transcript is spliced from 3 exons. The record is from RefSeq and is a predicted model, not a curated record. Lineage: Eukaryota; Metazoa; Arthropoda; Insecta; Coleoptera; Chrysomelidae.
AUUGUCCUGUAAUUACGUUUGUAGAAAAAAUAUUGUGUGAUAUGCGUGUUAAAAAGUACAUGUUUAAGGCACUCAUGUGAAUUUGCAGAACUCGCUUCGCUCAUUCUGCAAACUGUGUACUCACAUGCGUGCUUUAAACGUGUACUUUUAACACUUAUAUCAUAAAUAACUAUUUAUUCAAAAGUUUAUUGCGAUCAUCAGUUGUAAUACGAUUAAAACCGGAAAAAAAUCUUUCUCAUUUUACGUUAAUAGAAACGGGUAAACACAUUAUUUUUGCAAAGUUACAUUUUACAUACAUAUUUUAGUUUUCCGUGGUUAGCUUAAUUUUAAUAGCCUCACCGAACCGAAUGUCAAAACUCUUCGUUAUAUAAAUAUUAUCCGAAACACUACUGCACUGCUGCUUGAAACAAGAAAGUUUGGUAUCAGACUCCAGUUUCAUUUCUCUAAUCUCUGUAUUCAUACCUACGUCCUGAAUCUUAUUUUCAGUAAUGACAUUAGGAAAUUGUAACAAGAUGUGAAAAAUGUAAAUACUAUUAAAGAGUUAAUUUCAUUUUAGUCAUAAUGCAUAUAGCACAGAAAAUGUUGAUAUACAGUGAUGAGCGCGCUAAUAACCGGCAAAAUAGCUCAAAAGAUGGAAAACAUAAUACAUUGCGAAACAAAAAGAGAUGAAACUAGUGGAGGUGGAAAUUAUCGUUAAGGCCGCGUCCCACGAUCAAAUAAUUUGAUCAAACUGGUUUGAGCAAACUGAAAGUGACAGUUAGUGACGUCACAUCCUGAGUGUUCAUUGUGGAUAAUAAUGAAAAAUUUUAAUUUUAAAUAAAGUACAAACAAGUUAGACAACUCAAUACAAAAAAUUUGAUCAAACUAGACUGAUAGUGAGAGCACAGAUUUUUAGAAUUUCAAAAAAACUGCAAUUGUGACGUCACUUUGACGUACUUCUUCAAGUACGUCAGGUUUGCUCAAACUGUUUGAUCAAAUUAUUUGAUGGUGAGACGCGGCCUUUAUAAACGUCUAAAAUACCAUUACAUUACAUAGUUUCUCACCUUUAGACGUAUCAGAGGUAUGACAACUGUCACUGUGAGAGUAGAAUUUUAUAAAAUACUCCUGUCACAGACGUCUACAGGUGGAAAACUAUGUAAUGUAAUGUUAAUUAAUACGUUUAUAACGAUAAUUUCCACCUCCACUAGUUUCAUCUCUUUUUGUUUCGCAAUGUAUUAUGUUUUCCAUCUUUUGAGCUUUUUUGCCGGUUAUUAGCGUGCUCAUCACUGUAUACCAAAAACCUACUAAAAAAUAUUGCUUACUAGAAUUAAAAAAAAAAUAUAUCAAAAAUCUAUCCAAAAAGUAGAAAUCUGCUGAAUGUGGCAACGCUGUUACAAAAUAAACACCACUGUCCAACUCAAAAUUCAAUUGUCAAAUAUUCUUCUUCUUUUCAAUUAGCCUUGUACCACAUAUAUUAGCGAUCUACAUUAUGUGUCGCCAUCUCUAAUUCCGGAAGCUCACUAUAUAUAUGGAACCAAUUUUUUCCAUUGAGUUCGCAGCCCAUGAAUAUGGCUACUGGGUGUAAAAGAUAAAUCUUAUUCUAUCUGUUCUUAAUGAGUUUUAGAUAAUUUUAGUUGUAUUUCUUUGUAAUUUUGUGUUGUACAAAGAUUAAUUUAACAUUUUCUCUGGAAGUAUUAAUUUAGGAAGAUAAUAUGCUUCAUUGGUGUUGUGUUUUGAAGUGUGAAAUGCAAAGUAAUUGUGAUAAGUCAAGAUAAAGUUCACUUUUAAACUGAACUAAAUAAGGUAUCUGAGAGACAACAAUGGUUAAAUGCAAUACAAUGUACAGGUUUUACUAGCGAAAUGAAAAUUUUCCUGUCCUGUCUGCUGUAAUCAUUUUAUAUCUGGAAAACCAGCCGACUUAAUCGAUAAUAACAAUCUCCAGAUUGGGUUCUUUCAAUAAAUAUGGGCUAUAAACACAAUGAAAUAAGUUCCCCAAAAUCUAAAAUGGAGUGGUAUCAAAGGAGAAUUAAAGGAAAAAAUAUUCAUAUUGAAAUUAUUUAUAAGGCACUGGACUGUCUUAAAUUCUACAAUAAUACUAGAAUCAGCUGAGAGAAGUGGUCUACAAAAAACCAGGAAGGAAACGGAAUAUGUGGCUACGAAAGGCAAAAGAAAGGUUUACAAAGCAAAUGUGACACAUUUUUUUGAAAUAUUUAGGAAUAUCAGUAAAUUGCAUUAAAAGAAUGUAUGAAAAGAUUUUGUUCAAUAAAAAUGUUUAUAUUUA